AAUAUUAGAUAAUCUAGAGGCUUUUUUGGUGGAGUUUCGAUCCAUGUAUGGAGAACAUGAUGCAAUUCGUGUUGCAACCAAUAAGAUUCAUAUUUUACGAUAAGGCAAUUGAUCAGUAAUGUUGUACGCUUCGUGUUGCAACCAAUAAGAUCCAUAUUUUAUAACAAGGCAAUUGAUCAAUAACGUUGUACCCUUCACAAUUUUGACAACUUGUAAUUGAUAUCAAGUGGGAUGAUAUUGCACUUAUUAGCCAAUUUUUCUACAGAUUAUAAUAUGAGGUAAAAAAAUUAAUGCUCAACUUACCUGAUCCUCAAACAUUGAGUCAAGCAAUUGACUUUGCUAUGAAGUGCGACAAUCG
This 358-nucleotide long non-coding RNA is filed under the name Physcomitrium patens. Its description in RNAcentral is "long non-coding RNA (PPAT_LNC010360)". The record is from RNAcentral. Lineage: Eukaryota; Viridiplantae; Streptophyta; Bryopsida; Funariales; Funariaceae.